GGGGUUGUGGCUCAGUGGUAGAGCGCUUGCCUGGUACUUAUGAGGCACUGGGUUUGAUCCUCAGCACCA
This 69-nucleotide transfer RNA is filed under the name Ictidomys tridecemlineatus (thirteen-lined ground squirrel). RNAcentral describes it as "Spermophilus tridecemlineatus (thirteen-lined ground squirrel) tRNA". It matches the Rfam family "tRNA". From Rfam's summary of the family: Transfer RNA (tRNA) molecules are approximately 80 nucleotides in length. Their secondary structure includes four short double-helical elements and three loops (D, anti-codon, and T loops). Lineage: Eukaryota; Metazoa; Chordata; Mammalia; Rodentia; Sciuridae. The record is from Rfam by way of RNAcentral.